AUUGAACGCUGGCGGCAGGCCUAACACAUGCAAGUCGAACGAGUGGCGGACGGGUGAGUAAUGUCUGGGAAACUGCCUGAUGGAGGGGGAUAACUACUGGAAACGGUAGCUAAUACCGCAUACCAUCGGAUGUGCCCAGAUGGGAUUAGCUAGUAGGUGGGGUAAGGGCUCACCUAGGCGACGAUCCCUGGCUGGUCUGAGAGGAUGACCAGCCAAACUGGAACUGAGACACGGUCCAGCCGCCUACGGGAGGAAGCAGGGGAGAAGUUUGCACAAUGGGGGCAAGCGUGAUGCAGCCAUGCCGCGUGUAUGAAGAGGGCUUGCGGGUUGUAAAGUACUUACAGCGGGAGGCGUUACCCGCAGAAGAAGCACCGGCUAACUCCGUGCCAGCAGCCGCGGUAAUAC
Molecule: ribosomal RNA, 405 nt
Filed under: uncultured bacterium
Lineage: Bacteria
Description: partial 16S ribosomal RNA
Rfam family: Bacterial small subunit ribosomal RNA
Source: RNAcentral